GGAGAGAUGGCUGAGUCCGGUUGAAAGCGCACGACUCGAAAUCGUGUGAGCCGUUUGUAGCGGCUCCGUGGGUUCGAAUCCCACUCUCUCCGCCA
Molecule: transfer RNA, 95 nt
Filed under: Bacillota bacterium
Lineage: Bacteria; Bacillati; Bacillota
Also listed under: 2 other names
Description: Firmicutes bacterium (anaerobic digester metagenome) tRNA-Ser
Rfam family: tRNA
About the family: Transfer RNA (tRNA) molecules are approximately 80 nucleotides in length. Their secondary structure includes four short double-helical elements and three loops (D, anti-codon, and T loops).
Source: RNAcentral